UUAAAUUUAAUGAACUAAAAAAAACAAAAAACUUGAUUUAAAGGGAUACACUAGGCACCAAAACAUCUUGUUAUAUAUGUAUAGUUUUUGCAAAAUAUAUAUAUAUUUUGCAGAAAUCUGCACAAUAAUGUCUAACUGCUUAGCCAUGCACCUUUUAUUCUACAAGUUAUCAUGGAGUGGAGGGGGUAGAAGGCAGAGAGUUAUUUACCAAGAGCAUUGCCAUUGCAAUGGUAGCACAGUGUGGGAUAACUUCUACAUUCACUUGCCUCUUAAUACCUUGGAGCAGAGAUACAAUAUGCAUGAAGAGAGGACACAACUUGUGGGUGCUUGGAAAGUUCAGGGAACAAUCAUGAUGUCAUAGUAUUUGACUAAUGAUUCUUUUUACUAAUUUGAUUUCAGUCCGCUUCCAAAAUUAUUUAACCAUAAGUGACAGGCACAUGCUAGCAGUUAGCCAGGUGUUGCUCUACAGAAAAGGGAGAGAAAAAAAAAAAUUUAGAAAAAUAAAAAUGAAUUUUGUGAUCCUGACAGGCUACAAAGCCACAGAAGAAGAUUAAGGGAUUAAGUGCAUAUCUUGAAUAUAAAUAUAUAAUUAGGAAUUGUAGCCAUAU
Pelobates cultripes (western spadefoot toad) is the source of this 608-nucleotide non-coding RNA. The record is from the annotation of a GenBank genome assembly. Lineage: Eukaryota; Metazoa; Chordata; Amphibia; Anura; Pelobatidae.